Molecule: transfer RNA, 59 nt
Filed under: Cerophytidae sp. BMNH 900085
Lineage: Eukaryota; Metazoa; Arthropoda; Insecta; Coleoptera; Cerophytidae
Description: tRNA-Gln
Source: RNAcentral
UAUAUUUUAGUUUAAAAAGAAUAAAAAUUUUUGAUAUUUUAGGUAUAAUUUAAAUAUAA